GUCUAUGGCCAAGCCACCCUCACCACGCCUGAUCCCAUCUAAAUCUCUGCAAGUUAAGCAGGGCUGGGUCCAGUUAGUACUUGGAGGGGUGACCUCCUGGGAAUACUGGGUGCUGUAGGAC
This is a ribosomal RNA of Cairina moschata (Muscovy duck), 121 nucleotides long. NCBI's taxonomy places the organism in Eukaryota, Metazoa, Chordata, Aves, Anseriformes, Anatidae. The record is from Ensembl.